RNAcentral lists this small RNA (149 nucleotides) under Ectopseudomonas chengduensis. RNAcentral's name for it is "proV RNA". It matches the Rfam family "proV RNA". Lineage: Bacteria; Pseudomonadati; Pseudomonadota; Gammaproteobacteria; Pseudomonadales; Pseudomonadaceae. The record is from RNAcentral. RNAcentral also lists the same sequence under 1 other name.
CGUCGCUGCCGCUUCCCGAGGGGAACGGCAGACUGGGGCUCACCGCCCCGGACCGAAGAACAUACAAGCGCUGGCCCACCAUCGAUAGGGCGCCAGCCCAACAAGAAAUUUCGGAUGUACGCAUGCGCCAGGACGACGCAUGAAUCCCC